This 488-nucleotide long non-coding RNA is filed under the name Canis lupus familiaris (dog). RNAcentral's name for it is "lncRNA (ENSCAFG00030012026.1)". Lineage: Eukaryota; Metazoa; Chordata; Mammalia; Carnivora; Canidae. The record is from RNAcentral.
GUUUUUCUGUGCUGCUUACGCAGAUGGAACCAGUCCCGCAGGCACUCAAGAGGAUAUUUGCUGUAUUUGGUGUGGGAUCCUUUGGUGAAGGAGUCUGUACCACGGUGUUAACAGUUUUGGCAACUGACUGUGAAAAAACAACCCCUGAACUUUACUACUUGUCUGUGCUGCUGUCGGUGAGCAGCUUGGUUUCUACAGGUAAGCACAGCUUCCCAAAUAAUCCAUCCUGGUCAAAAGCUUACCAGUCCUUCUGGGAAGUAACUGCUCAACUAGGGUUGUCACAUUGCAAAGAGAAGCCCUGGUUCCUCUCAAAGCAGGAGCUCCAAGAAGCGAGACACCUGAGUGGCUCAGCAGUUAAGCAUCUGCCUUCAGCUCAGGUCAUGAUCCCAGGGUCCUGGGAUCGAGUCCCACAUCAGGCUCGGGGAGCAGGAGCCUGGUUCUCUCCCUCUGCCUGUGUUUCUGCCUCUCUCUGUGUCUCUCAUGAAUAA